Sceloporus undulatus (fence lizard) is the source of this 189-nucleotide long non-coding RNA. RefSeq lists it as uncharacterized. The record is from RefSeq and is a predicted model, not a curated record. The transcript is spliced from 2 exons. Lineage: Eukaryota; Metazoa; Chordata; Lepidosauria; Squamata; Phrynosomatidae.
AGCAAUUGGAUUUAGCCCAAGGAUUUCUCCUUCAGUAGUCUUCGUUUUCACAGUGAUCCUAUGAAGCAGGAUAGGCUGAGAGACUGUGAGACUAAAGAUCACCUGGGAAGUUUGAUGGCCACAACUACUUACAACUCUUACAGGCAUACUACAAACAACUUUUAGAAGAAAAAGGGAAAACAGGAAGAA